Molecule: ribosomal RNA, 301 nt
Filed under: uncultured bacterium
Lineage: Bacteria
Description: partial 16S ribosomal RNA
Rfam family: Bacterial small subunit ribosomal RNA
Source: RNAcentral
CAGCAGCCGCGGGAAUACGUAGGUGGCAAGCGUUGUCCGGAAUUAUUGGGCGUAAAGCGCGCGCAGGCGGUUUCUUAAGUCUGAUGUGAAAGCCCCCGGCUUAACCGGGGAGGGUCAUUGGAAACUGGGAGACUUAGAGUGCAGAAGAGGAGAGUGGAAUUCCAUGUGUAGCGGUGAAAUGCGUAGAUAUAUGGAGGAACACCAGUGGCGAAGGCGACUCUCUGGUCUGUAACUGACGCUGAGGCGCGAAAGCGUGGGGAGCAAACAGGAUUAGAUACCCGGGUAGUCCCUGUCUCUUAUA